Molecule: ribosomal RNA, 466 nt
Filed under: uncultured bacterium
Lineage: Bacteria
Description: partial 16S ribosomal RNA
Rfam family: Bacterial small subunit ribosomal RNA
Source: RNAcentral
GAUGAACGCUGGCGGCGUGCUUAACACAUGCAAGUCGAACGAUGAAGCCCAGCUUGCUGGGUGGAUUAGUGGCGAACGGGUGAGUAACACGUGAGUAACCUGCCCUUAACUCUGGGAUAAGCCUGGGAAACUGGGUCUAAUACCGGAUAGGAGCGUCCACCGCAUGGUGGGUGUUGGAAAGAUUUAUCGGUUUUGGAUGGACUCGCGGCCUAUCAGCUUGUUGGUGAGGUAAUGGCUCACCAAGGCGACGACGGGUAGCCGGCCUGAGAGGGUGACCGGCCACACUGGGACUGAGACACGGCCCAGACUCCUACGGGAGGCAGCAGUGGGGAAUAUUGCACAAUGGGCGCAAGCCUGAUGCAGCGACGCCGCGUGAGGGAUGACGGCCUUCGGGUUGUAAACCUCUAUCAGUAGGGAAGAAGCGAAAGUGACGGUACCUGCAGAAGAAGCACCGGCUAACUACGUG